RNAcentral lists this ribosomal RNA (301 nucleotides) under uncultured bacterium. Its description in RNAcentral is "partial 16S ribosomal RNA". It matches the Rfam family "Bacterial small subunit ribosomal RNA", at positions 509 to 807 of the family's 1533-position model. The record is from RNAcentral.
CAGCAGCCACGGGAAUACGGAGGGAGCUAGCGUUGUUCGGAAUUACUGGGCGUAAAGCGCACGUAGGCGGCUUUGUAAGUUAGAGGUGAAAGCCUGGAGCUCAACUCCAGAAUUGCCUUUAAGACUGCAUCGCUUGAAUCCGGGAGAGGUGAGUGGAAUUCCGAGUGUAGAGGUGAAAUUCGUAGAUAUUCGGAAGAACACCAGUGGCGAAGGCGGCUCACUGGACCGGCAUUGACGCUGAGGUGCGAAAGCGUGGGGAGCAAACAGGAUUAGAUACCCGCGUAGUCCCUGUCUCUUAUAC